Molecule: small RNA, 641 nt
Filed under: Histoplasma capsulatum var. duboisii H88
Lineage: Eukaryota; Fungi; Ascomycota; Eurotiomycetes; Onygenales; Ajellomycetaceae
Description: Histoplasma capsulatum H88 hypothetical RNA
Source: RNAcentral
GACGUUGGCGGGCCUUAUGAAGUGCCGAAUGACCUCCUUAACCUAGGUAUCAAAUCAACAGAUACCCCAAAUCAGUUAUCAAAUUCUCUCAGAAAACAGUUCUGUGAGAGUGAUCUUACAACCGGAUUUCACGAAGGAAACUUAUGGCCUGGUUCAAUUGAUUCACGUAUUGGAAAUGACCACCUCAAACAACUUCACAAAGAAAAUAGGCCUAAUCCCCUGGUCUUAGAUGGACACGACUUAGAAGGUCAUGGUAAUGUUCAGUUUGGUGGAGAAUACCAAAUCAUAUCAGCUACUCACCCUGCAGGAAAUCAAGCUCCUGGUUACAGUGGAAAUACGCGAGCACAAAGCGGUUCUCAGGAUGCUACAAACGGGAAAAUUAUCCCCAUCUUCGAAACGUCUUACGGCCUUUGCAUAGACACUUCAACAAAUUGCGGCCCUGCGUCAAGGGGAAAAUCGGGAAGUCAGAGUCGUCCCGACCAGGGUUCCAAAUCCUCCUGUGGUCGCAAGAAUGGAUCAAGUAGUUGCAGUGGUUCCGGCUCUGGUGACUCAGGCCAGAGUGAUCCACUGACCAAUAGCACGGCCGGGACAAGCGUUGUUGACUUUGCAAAUGACCAUAACUUGACUACAAAGGCUAAAGC